GAUGAACGCUGGCGGCGUGCCUAAUACAUGCAAGUCGAGCGAACAGACGAGGAGCUUGCUCCUCUGACGUUAGCGGCGGACGGGUGAGUAACACGUGGAUAACCUACCUAUAAGACUGGGAUAACUUCGGGAAACCGGAGCUAAUACCGGAUAAUAUAUUGAACCGCAUGGUUCAAUAGUGAAAGACGGUUUUGCUGUCACUUAUAGAUGGAUCCGCGCCGCAUUAGCUAGUUGGUAAGGUAACGGCUUACCAAGGCAACGAUGCGUAGCCGACCUGAGAGGGUGAUCGGCCCCACUGGACCUGAGACACGGUCCAGACUCCUACGGGAGGCAGCAGUAGGGAAUCUUCCGCAAUGGGCGAAAGCCUGACGGAGCACCGCCGCGUGAGUGAUGAAGGUCUUCGGAUCGUAAAACUCUGUUAUUAGGGAAGAACAAAUGUGUAAGUAACUAUGCACGUCUUGACGGUACCUAAUCAGAAAGCCACGGCUAACUACGUG
This 497-nucleotide ribosomal RNA is filed under the name uncultured bacterium. Its description in RNAcentral is "partial 16S ribosomal RNA". It matches the Rfam family "Bacterial small subunit ribosomal RNA", at positions 28 to 507 of the family's 1533-position model. The record is from RNAcentral.